CUCCUCUUCGCUGAAUACAGCUCACGGUAAGUACUGGUUCACACAGUUCGUUCCUUGGGUGCUCACUCGCUUUCUCUUUCUCCACAGGUAGCGGCGUAAGUACAGUUUUCCUCGGUCUCUCCUCGUGUUACCCACUCUCUCUCCUUUUCUCUCCACAGGUAUCAACUUAGGCACAAUAGCACAGUUAGUUUGCUUUGAAUGGCUCUCACCUCUGGGCUGGACACAGCGUACUGUAAGUACAGGUUCCCUCUGGUUCUCCUUGUGUUACUCACUCUCUCUUUCCUUUUCUCUCCACAGGUAUCAACUUGGACACAAAGCACAGUUACUCUGCUUUGGAUGGCUUUCACCUCUGGGCUGGACACAGCGUACCGUGCUAUCUCCGGAGAUCUGAAGCACGCUCACAACAUAUACUGUACUGAACUAGGCUAGGACCAGCAGUCUCCUUGUCCUCCCGCGACGAAGUGCGUGAAGGCGGGGGUUUAUCUGACAGGACACACGGCAAUACACAGCAGCCCACAGCAAUAUACAACACCACGUCAAAAUUAUAGGUUUUCACAGCACGAAGACUCACCCACCACACUCAGUGUACGAAAAGGACACCCGUCUUCCUUCACUUCGCUUGGUUCGGAUCUGGCGAUGGAAUAUGCGGCCUAGCUAGUGAUGUCGUCGUUGUGACUACUUCAAUAAGUAUUCCUUCGGCUCUCCCACCACGCUAUAUUAGGGGUAGGGCCGCCCUCCUCCUCCUGGAGAGAUCUACACAACGCCAGGUCAAUAUACAGGGCACUUUCGACUGGCUCUUAGUACUCACAUCAAUGCCGCUUCCAAUCCCCUUUUUUUCACGUCGUCUCAGUUCGCCGUAUAAUCCGUUCACUUCUCAACCUUUAAGGUUCGCGAUGUCUUCACAAUCAUACAAUUCCAGCCUGAGGGAGAGAGAGAGUUAGACAGCCACCAGCAGCGCACCAAGACGGGCACAACACAGUGCUUCACACACACCAG
Molecule: long non-coding RNA, 996 nt
Organism: Cyprinus carpio carpio
Lineage: Eukaryota; Metazoa; Chordata; Actinopteri; Cypriniformes; Cyprinidae
Source: Ensembl